RNAcentral lists this ribosomal RNA (433 nucleotides) under uncultured Marinomonas sp. RNAcentral describes it as "bacterial SSU rRNA". It matches the Rfam family "Bacterial small subunit ribosomal RNA", at positions 9 to 439 of the family's 1533-position model. The record is from RNAcentral. Lineage: Bacteria; Pseudomonadati; Pseudomonadota; Gammaproteobacteria; Oceanospirillales; Oceanospirillaceae.
GAGUUUACUCCUGGCUCAGAUUGAACGCUGGCGGCAGGCUUAACACAUGCAAGUCGAGCGGAAACGAUGUAGCUUGCUACAGGCGUCGAGCGGCGGACGGGUGAGUAACGCGUAGGAAUCUGCCUAGUAGAGGGGGACAACAUGUGGAAACGCAUGCUAAUACCGCAUACGCCCUGAGGGGGAAAGGAGGGGAUCACUUGUGACCUUCCGCUAUUAGAUGAGCCUGCGUGAGAUUAGCUAGUUGGUAGGGUAAAGGCCUACCAAGGCGACAAUCUCUAACUGGUCUGAGAGGAUGACCAGUCACACUGGGACUGAGACACGGCCCAAACUCCUACGGGAGGCACCAGUGGGCAAUAUUGGACAUUGGGCGCUAGCCUGUAUCCAACCAUGCCGCUGUGUCAAGAAGGCCCCNGNUUUCNUCAAANUCCCCUAR